GGGGAGACGGAGGUUGCGGUGAGCCGAGAUCGCGCCACUGCACUCCAGCCUGGGCGACAAGAGCGAAACUGUCUCAAUAAAUAAAUAAAUAAAUAAAUAAAAAUACAAGAAAGGAAAAAGAAAUAUUGGAGGGGACUUGGGGUCCAGGGCUGGGCAGGGCUGAAGGCGUAAACAUGUGAGAGUCUGGAGCCGGAUGAGGUCACGAGAAGACAGGCGGGACAGGGACAGCGCCGUGGGUGCCACUCGAGACACAGGGUGGGCGGGGCCGGCCAGGCCUGGAGCUGGCUGCCACCGGCUGCGGCAGGAGGGAGCUGGCUGCCGCCAUUUCAGUGGAGGGUGGCGACAACCCCAGUCUGGAGGGGGCUGAGACCUGUGCUGGGGGCCGCCCGGGGUAGAUCCUGUCUUGAAGAGUUCAAAGCCAUUUUCUGCACUUGGCCCCAUGGCCUCUGAGCUCAGAGUUCACCCCUCAUGGAGCUGGAAGGGACGGUUUCUAGAGAGGCCUCCAUGCUUGGACCAGGAUGAAAAUCCUUCACCAUCUUCAAUGCAACAAGCUGUUCACGGACCCCCAGUGCCAUUCUCUCAUUCGUGUGUUCAGGCGUCCCUCAUGCCCUCACUCAUUUAUUCAGCCCAUGUGUUCACUGGGGGCCCCGUGCAGGGCUGGGGACGCUGCCAUGGAGGAGGCGGAGGCACCCUUGCCCCAGAGGGAGCUCCUGUGAAUUUCACUGCCAGCAGCUGGGAGGCUGUUCCAGGACCGCAGACGCCAUUGUAACCCACGCACCCGCAGAGGCCUGUCUAUGAGCUCCUGUCGUGCUCUGGGUCUCCCCAGAAGCCGGCCCUGAAGCAAAGAUUCAUGCCAGUGAGGCAGGCAGAGGCACCGGAGCCAUGGAAACAGCACAGACCACCUGUCCUGCCCCAGCUCCGCUCCCGCUCGGUUGCUUUCUCUGCCUCUGUGGACCUCCUGGUGCGCUGGCCCUAUCCCAGCUGGGCCCUGGGCAGAGCAGGACUCACUGUCUUGCCCCCGCCCACCCUGGGACUUCAGCUGGGCCCAGCACAGAGAGAGCCAAGGGGUUUCUGGAGCUCUGGAGUCCCUCCACCUGCUCUCAGCACUCACCAGACGCAAGCUCUGUGGACCAUGGGGACUGAGGGCUCCUUCCUCUGCCCCCCGGCACUCCUUCCCCCAGCCACUCUCCUGGGGAGGGGCCAGGGAUGAGGCCAGCUCAGGGAAAUACUCUCUGACCUGAGUUGCCCCAACAGGAAAUAGGCUAUCUUGAAAGGUGGUGAGUUCCCUGUCAUGUGAGGCAUGCAAGGGUAGACUCCUAGGGCUGCUAUAAGGGAAUCUUUAUUGUAUGGGAGGGGACAUUAAUGGAUCGAGUGAGUAUAGAAAGAGUUCUUUCUUUUGUUCAUUCAUUCACUCCAUUUAUUGACUGACUCAUUGAUUCAUUCAGAAAACACCAGUGGUGUGGCAUCCAUCCUCUGGCCUAGGCUGGGUGCCAGGUGCAGAACAUUCAACCGUGAGACUGCAGUCAUGACUCCUGCUUUCAUGGCAGGCAGAG
RNAcentral lists this long non-coding RNA (1553 nucleotides) under Homo sapiens (human). RNAcentral describes it as "HSALNT0278840". Lineage: Eukaryota; Metazoa; Chordata; Mammalia; Primates; Hominidae. The record is from RNAcentral.